Molecule: ribosomal RNA, 305 nt
Filed under: uncultured bacterium
Lineage: Bacteria
Description: bacterial SSU rRNA
Rfam family: Bacterial small subunit ribosomal RNA
Source: RNAcentral
GAACCUACGGGGGGCAGCAGUGGGGAAUAUUGUGCAAUGGGGGAAACCCUGACGCAGCAACGCCGCGUGAGUGAGGAAGUAUCUCGGUAUGUAAAGCUCUAUCAGCGGGGAAGAAAGAGGACGGUACCCGACUAAGAAGCCCCGGCUAACUACGUGCCAGCAGCCGCGGUAAUACGUAGGUGGCGAGCGUUGUCCGGAAUUACUGGGUGUAAAGGGAGUGUAGGCGGGGAAGCAAGUCAGAAGUGAAAACUAUGGGCUUAACCCAUAGCCUGCUUUUGAAACUGUUUUUCUUGAGUGAAGUAGAG